GAUUUCUGGUUCGGUAUACUUGGCCCGCCUCGGUUUACGGGGUUGUGUGCCGGUGUGUACCAUCCAUCCUUCGAGAGAUCGGUUUUGCCCUUCACUGGGUUGAGAUCGCUACCUCGAUCAUUUACUUUGAAAAAAUUAGAGUGUUUAAAGCAGGCUUGCGCUAUGAAUACAUUAGCAUGGAAUAAUAAUUUAGGACUUUGGUCUUAUUUUGUUGGUUUCUAGGACUAAAGUAAUGAUUGAUAGGGACAGUUGGGGGUGCUAGUAUUCAGCGGCCAGAGGUGAAAUUCUUGGAUUCGCUGAAGACUAACUUAUGCGAAAGCAUU
This 323-nucleotide ribosomal RNA is filed under the name Cercomonas sp. RNAcentral's name for it is "SSU rRNA". The stretch from base 106 to 323 matches the Rfam family "Eukaryotic small subunit ribosomal RNA", at positions 736 to 955 of the family's 1831-position model. Lineage: Eukaryota; Cercozoa; Cercomonadida; Cercomonadidae. RNAcentral also lists the same sequence under 1 other name. The record is from RNAcentral.